UAAACCGGUGUGCGAGGAGAUCAUUAUCGAGUUUUGACUGGGUUGUAGCUGGCCUUCCGAGGCAUGUGCACGCCCUGCUCAUCCACUCUACACCUGUGCACUUACUGUGGGCUUCAGAUCUAAAACGGGUCCCUUUACCGGGCUUGCGGAGCGUGUCUGUGCCUGCGUUUAUCACAAACUCUAUAAAGUAUCAGAAUGUGUGCGAAUUUGUACGCAUACUAUAUACAACUUUCAGCAACAUCUCUUGGCUCUCGCAUCGAUGAAGAACGCAGCGAAAUGCGAUAAGUAAUGUGAAUUCAGAAUUCAGUGAAUCAUCGAAUCUUUGAACGCACCUUCGCUCCUUGGUAUUCCGAGGAGCAUGCCUGUUUGAGUGUCAAAAUCUGUUCAACCUGCAAGCUUUUUGUGUUUGUAGGCUUGGACUUGAGGCUUGUUGGCCAUUCUUGGUCGGCUCCCUUAAAUGCAUUAGCUUGGUCUGUCGGAUCGGCUCUCGGUGUGAUAAUGUCUACACUGCGACCGUGAAGCGUUUGGCGUCUCUAACCGUCUCAGUUGGAGACAACUUUAUGACCUCUGACCUCAAAUCAGGUAGGACUACCCGCACUUG
This 601-nucleotide ribosomal RNA is filed under the name Ganoderma martinicense. RNAcentral describes it as "eukaryotic LSU rRNA". The stretch from base 227 to 376 matches the Rfam family "5.8S ribosomal RNA". The record is from RNAcentral. Lineage: Eukaryota; Fungi; Basidiomycota; Agaricomycetes; Polyporales; Polyporaceae.